Molecule: ribosomal RNA, 907 nt
Filed under: uncultured archaeon
Lineage: Archaea
Description: bacterial SSU rRNA
Rfam family: Archaeal small subunit ribosomal RNA
Source: RNAcentral
GUUGAUUCUGCCGGACCCGACUGCUAUCAGAGUGGGACUAAGCCAUGCGAGUCAACAUAGCAAUAUGUGGCAUACGGCUCAGUAACACGUAGUCAACAUGCCCAGGGGACGUGGAUAACCUCGGGAAACUGAGGAUAAACCGCGAUAAGUCACUACUUCUGGAAUGGGUAAUGACUCAAAUCUAUAUGGCCCCUGGAUUGGACUGCGGCCGAUCAGGCUGUUGGUGAGGUAAUGGCCCACCAAACCUGUAACCGGUACGGGCUCUGAGAGGAGGAGCCCGGAGAUGGGCACUGAGACAAGGGCCCAGGCCCUAUGGGGCGCAGCAGGCGCGAAACCUCUGCAAUAGGCGAAAGCUUGACAGGGUUACUCUGAGUGAUUUCCGUUAAGGAAAUCUUUUGGCACCUCUAAAAAUGGUGCAGAAUAAGGGGUGGGCAAGUCUGGUGUCAGCCGCCGCGGUAAUACCAGCACCCCGAGUGGUCGGGACGUUUAUUGGGCCUAAAGCAUCCGUAGCCGGUUCUACAAGUCUUCCGUUAAAUCCAACUGCUUAACAGGUGGGCUGCGGAAGAUACUAUAGAGCUAGGAGGCGGGAGAGGCAAGCGGUACUCGAUGGGUAGGGGUAAAAUCCGUUGAUCCAUUGAAGACCACCAGUGGCGAAGGCGGCUUGCCAGAACGCGCUCGACGGUGAGGGAUGAAAGCUGGGGGAGCAAACCGGAUUAGAUACCCGGGUAGUCCCAGCUGUAAACGAUGCAGACUCGGUGAUGAGUUGGCUAUAUGCCAACUCAGUGCCGCAGGGAAGCCGUUAAGUUUGCCGCCUGGGGAGUACGGUCGCAAGACUGAAACUUAAAGGAAUUGGCGGGGGAGCACCACAAGGGGUGAAGCCUGCGGUUCAAUUGGAGUCAACGCCGGG